RNAcentral lists this ribosomal RNA (403 nucleotides) under bacterium. Its description in RNAcentral is "partial 16S ribosomal RNA". It matches the Rfam family "Bacterial small subunit ribosomal RNA", at positions 355 to 776 of the family's 1533-position model. The record is from RNAcentral.
UGGGGAAUAUUGCACAAUGGAGGGAACUCUGAUGCAGCGACGCCGCGUGAACGAAGAAGGCUUUCGAGUCGUAAAGUUCUUUUAUAUGGGAAGAUAAUGACGGUACCAUAAGAAAAAGCCCCGGCUAACUACGUGCCAGCAGCCGCGGUAAUACGUAGGGGGCUAGCGUUGUCCGGAAUCACUGGGCGUAAAGGGUUCGCAGGCGGAAAUGCAAGUCAGGUGUAAAAGGCAGUAGCUUAACUACUGUAAGCAUUUGAAACUGCAUAUCUUGAGAAGAGUAGAGGUAAGUGGAAUUUUUAGUGUAGCGGUGAAAUGCGUAGAUAUUAAAAAGAAUACCGGUGGCGAGGGCGACUUGCUGGGCUCAUUCUGACGCUGAGGAACGAAAGCGUGGGCAGCAAGCAGG